Long non-coding RNA from Drosophila persimilis, 369 nucleotides. RefSeq lists it as uncharacterized. The record is from RefSeq and is a predicted model, not a curated record. NCBI's taxonomy places the organism in Eukaryota, Metazoa, Arthropoda, Insecta, Diptera, Drosophilidae. The transcript is spliced from 2 exons.
UUUUGAACACAGGCCGACUUGGACGGAACAAUAUUUUUUCGCGUCUAAUUUUACAAUUCAAAAAAGCCGCAUUUGAUACGUUUCCAUGGAGGAAAUAUGCAGAGUUUGCAUGGGUUCCCAUGCAUUCGGACCGUUCACAAACAUUUUUGUGGAGCGCCAAGAACUUGUCAUUACCAUUGCUGUAAUGAUUGAAGAUGUUACCGGGUACCAGGUUCGGCGGGGGGACUCGCUACCAGAAGUCGUAUGCCCGCCCUGUCUUCACGAUGCAGAGAAUGCUUUUAGGCUUGUGAGAACCUGUAAGCAGAACGAAAAACUCCAUUUCUCACGAAUGGAGCAGAAUAAAGAAGAAGACAUAUCUUGCGACCAGAC